AUUGAACGCUGGCGGCAGGCUUAACACAUGCAAGUCGAGCGGAGAUGAGGUGCUUGCACCUUAUCUUAGCGGCGGACGGGUGAGUAAUGCUUAGGAAUCUGCCUAUUAGUGGGGGACAACAUUCCGAAAGGGAUGCUAAUACCGCAUACGUCCUACGGGAGAAAGCAGGGGAUCUUCGGACCUUGCGCUAAUAGAUGAGCCUAAGUCGGAUUAGCUAGUUGGUGGGGUAAAGGCCUACCAAGGCGACGAUCUGUAGCGGGUCUGAGAGGAUGAUCCGCCACACUGGGACUGAGACACGGCCCAGACUCCUACGGGAGGCAGCAGUGGGGAACAUUGGACAAUGGGGGGAACCCUGAUCCAGCCAUGCCGCGUGUGUGAAGAAGGCCUUAUGGUUGUAAAGCACUUUAAGCGAGGAGGAGGCUACUGAGACUAAUACUCUUGGAUAGUGGACGUUACUCGCAGAAUAAGCACCGGCUAACUCUGUGCCAGCCGCCGCGGUAA
This 501-nucleotide ribosomal RNA is filed under the name uncultured Pseudomonadales bacterium. Its description in RNAcentral is "bacterial SSU rRNA". It matches the Rfam family "Bacterial small subunit ribosomal RNA", at positions 30 to 523 of the family's 1533-position model. The record is from RNAcentral. Lineage: Bacteria; Pseudomonadati; Pseudomonadota; Gammaproteobacteria; Pseudomonadales.